RNAcentral lists this transfer RNA (72 nucleotides) under Puntigrus partipentazona. RNAcentral's name for it is "tRNA-Trp". It matches the Rfam family "tRNA". From Rfam's summary of the family: Transfer RNA (tRNA) molecules are approximately 80 nucleotides in length. Their secondary structure includes four short double-helical elements and three loops (D, anti-codon, and T loops). Lineage: Eukaryota; Metazoa; Chordata; Actinopteri; Cypriniformes; Cyprinidae. The record is from RNAcentral.
GGGAAUUUAAGAUAAUGUUAGUCUAAAGAGCCUUCAAAGCUUUAAGCAGAAGUUAAAAACUUCUAAUUCCCG